Molecule: ribosomal RNA, 626 nt
Filed under: Burkholderia sp. M47T1
Lineage: Bacteria; Pseudomonadati; Pseudomonadota; Betaproteobacteria; Burkholderiales; Burkholderiaceae
Description: bacterial SSU rRNA
Rfam family: Bacterial small subunit ribosomal RNA
Source: RNAcentral
GGGCAACCCUGGUGGCGAGUGGCGAACGGGUGAGUAAUACAUCGGAACGUGUCCUGUAGUGGGGGAUAGCCCGGCGAAAGCCGGAUUAAUACCGCAUACGACCUAAGGGAGAAAGCGGGGGAUCUUCGGACCUCGCGCUAUAGGGGCGGCCGAUGGCAGAUUAGCUAGUUGGUGGGGUAAAGGCCUACCAAGGCGACGAUCUGUAGCUGGUCUGAGAGGACGACCAGCCACACUGGGACUGAGACACGGCCCAGACUCCUACGGGAGGCAGCAGUGGGGAAUUUUGGACAAUGGGGGAAACCCUGAUCCAGCAAUGCCGCGUGUGUGAAGAAGGCCUUCGGGUUGUAAAGCACUUUUGUCCGGAAAGAAAACCUCUUGGUUAAUACCUGAGGGGGAUGACGGUACCGGAAGAAUAAGCACCGGCUAACUACGUGCCAGCAGCCGCGGUAAUACGUAGGGUGCGAGCGUUAAUCGGAAUUACUGGGCGUAAAGCGUGCGCAGGCGGUUUGUUAAGACAGAUGUGAAAUCCCCGGGCUUAACCUGGGAACUGCAUUUGUGACUGGCAAGCUAGAGUAUGGCAGAGGGGGGUAGAAUUCCACGUGUAGCAGUGAAAUGCGUAGAGAUGU